This 370-nucleotide ribosomal RNA is filed under the name Zeadelium arthurensis. Its description in RNAcentral is "partial 12S ribosomal RNA". Lineage: Eukaryota; Metazoa; Arthropoda; Insecta; Coleoptera; Tenebrionidae. The record is from RNAcentral.
GAUACCCUAUUAUUUUAAAUGUAAUUUUUAAAACUAAAAUUAUUAUUAGUUAAGAUCUUUAAAAUUAAAAAUUUUGGCGGUAUUUUAGUCUUUUCAGAGGAACCUGUUUAUUAAUUGAUAUUCCACGAUUAAAUUUACUUUAAUUUUAAAUUUAUAUAUCGUCGUUUAUAAAGAUUUUAUUAGAAUUUAAAUUUUUAAUAUUUUUUAUUUAAUAUUAAUUCAGAUCAAGGUGUAGUUUAUAUUGAAGUAUUAAUGGGUUACAUUAAAUUUAUUUUUGGUUUUGAAAUUGGAAAUUUUGAAUAAAUUGGAUUUGAAAGUAAUUAUUAUAUCUUUAUAUUUUGAUUUAGCUCUAAAAUAUGUACACAUCGCC